RNAcentral lists this long non-coding RNA (481 nucleotides) under Mytilus galloprovincialis (Mediterranean mussel). Lineage: Eukaryota; Metazoa; Mollusca; Bivalvia; Mytilida; Mytilidae. The record is from RNAcentral.
UAGACAACUUGUUCAAAACAUAUUUAGUAUGACAGUUAAUUGUUCUCGAAGCAAAAGUUUAAACGAACUUGUCAAAAACCUCUAACAGUCUAACGUUCUCUUUAUAGAAACGAUCUGAAUACAUCAUACUUAGAACACUAUUUUUAUUGACAUCGUUUAUAUAUUCACCCACCAUGCCAUAUAGCACCGUCCAUUGGUGCCUCCUACAGUUCAGCUAGAUAUAUUCAGCUCACUCACAGUAUUCUUUUUUGUUACUUUCUAGAGGUGUGCCUGAGACGAAGGUUUUAUGUAUACUCCUAUAUAUGUACUAAUAUAUGAAAACUGUUGUUUCUUAUUUGUGUUUGUAACUAUGUAUACUGUAUUAUUUAUUAUAUUUGACAAAUAAUAAUCUUCUUCUUCUUCUUCUUCUUCUUCUUCUUCUUCUUCUUCUUCUUCUUCUUCUUCUUCUUCUUCUUCUUCUUCUUCUUCUUCUUCUUCUACU